This 107-nucleotide small nuclear RNA is filed under the name Capra hircus (goat). Lineage: Eukaryota; Metazoa; Chordata; Mammalia; Artiodactyla; Bovidae. The record is from RNAcentral.
GUGCUCGCUUCGGCAGCACAUAUACUAAAAUUGGAACACGACAGAGAAGAUUAGCAUGGCCCCUGUGCAAGGAUGACAUGCAAAUUCAUGAAGCAUUCCAUAUUUUU